This 330-nucleotide ribosomal RNA is filed under the name uncultured eukaryote. Its description in RNAcentral is "partial 18S ribosomal RNA". It matches the Rfam family "Eukaryotic small subunit ribosomal RNA", at positions 1470 to 1796 of the family's 1831-position model. The record is from RNAcentral.
CCCUUAGAUGUUCUGGGCCGCACGCGUGCUACACUGAUGAGUGCAACGAGUUUGCUCCUAGGCCGAAAGGUCACUGGGUAAUCUUUUUAACGCUCGUCGUGAUGGGGAUAGACCUUUGCAAUUGUGGGUCUUUAACGAGGAAUCCCUAGUAAGUGCAGUUCAUCAGACUGCGCUGAUUACGUCCCUGCCCUUUGUACACACCGCCCGUCGCUCCUACCGAUUGAAUGGUCCGGUGAAAUGUCGGGAUUUGCAUUUGGAGACUGGCAACAGAACUCCGGUGCGAAGAACUUCAGUGAACCUUAUCAUUUAGAGGAAGGAGAAGUCGUAACA